ACCUCAGGUGAUCCACCCACCUCGACCUCCCAAAGUGGUGGGAUCAUUUAGAUUUUUAAAGCGCUUAUUCAUUGGAAAACUAGAACAAUAUCCCUGUAUGUUGAGUUUGCUGAGAGUUUGCUCUGACAACCUCAAACCUUCCAACCAAAAGCAACUUCAUGGGCUUCUUUCCAAAUUCUCUAUGGUUUACAAGCAUUCUGUUGGGCUUCCCUAGUCCCACUGACACCCUUUCUUCUACAUGGCAGCAGCUGUCUGUGGUGGCAGCACUCCCAAACUCUUGCUUCUGAGUUUGAGUGACCAUUUGCCUCUUGGCCGGGUUGGUUUACAGACUCCAUCAGAAGUCCCCAUGCUUUGUGUUCUGCUUUCAGAUCCUUUGCUAAUUGCUUCUUUCUUUUGAGGGGCACAAAAACUGCCUGAGCUUCCCUGCCCCAGUAGGCAGGAUGUUCUCUGCUUUCAGAUGUGUCAGCCCUUCCAAAAUGUACUCUUGAUCUUGGGAAAAGAAGUAAUUAGCCUGAUGAGGAAUAUACUGCUGUUUCAGCAGUUUUCUCACUGCUGGGUUUUGAAGUAAUAGAGGGCCAGGCAGGUCAGAAAGAAGUUGAGUGCUGUUGAGUUUCAAUGCCCCACUAAGCUCACAUAGCAACUACUGGCACUCAAAGCUCAUUAGUUCUAACCCAACACUGCUAAUCGCCCCGAGUGAUGAAUCCGCUUUCAUGAACACUUAGAGAAGUAUUUGCUAACAUUUAACCUCAGCGUGCCCUGCAUGGCCUUCAAGGUCUCACAAGUUGAUAUAAACUUGAAGAAAGAGUACAUCAAGCAUUAUCAUAGGAAAGAUGGGCCUACGUUGUGGGGUCCUCAUAUAGACAAAAAUCGCUCUAAUGAUUCCUCUUAGAAGAACUUUAUCAUAUUGUUACAGGCAAUGUUCCUCUCUUCUUGGUAACCCUAGGAUUGAGGGAAGUGUGUUUGGAUCUGUGGCUACAACUCUUUAGAUAUGGGUUUCUCAACCCCAACACUAUUGAUAUUCCAGGAUGGAUAAUUCUUUGUUUGGGGGCUGUUCUACGCAUUGUAGAAUUUGGGCAGCAUCUCUGGACUGCAUAGAUAGAUGCCAGUAGCAACCUCCCUUUCCUCCACUCUCUGUCCAGGGUGUGAUAACAACUACUAGUGUCUCCAGACGUGGCCAAAUGUCUCCUGAGGGCAAAAUUGUCCUCUGAUGAAAACCACUGCUUUAGAAAAUUGCCACCGACAUUGAAUUUAAAAAGUGGAAUACAGUAAAAUAGAAUCAGAAAAAAAAAAAAUCAGACAACAUAGCGUAAGAGACAGUACUGUUUCAUAAACAUGUAUUUCAUAUUCAUCUGUGUGUAUGUAUAUGCCUAUAAAUAACAUGGAUUAUGGUUAAAAAAAAAGUUAACAAUACUGAGAGACUUGACCCUCAGAAAGUCUAUUGUUUAUCUGUGCUAUUACUAAGAGAUGGAUUACAGUCUCCCAUUUAGAAAUCUAUUUCUCUUCAAUAUUGUAUCGUAUGCUUUUGUUUGAUUGUUCUUAAUUUAGUAUGGUUUUCUUUCAACAACUAAUGGGCACUUUGUUUUCUACCUUAUUGAGACAAGUUUAGUGAUUUCUGUCUACCUUAGAUAAUAUAAAAGUAUCAAAACAAAAUAUCAUAGGUCAUCUAGGAGAUUAGGGAGUCUAUAUGCUGAGGGAAAUAGCAAAAUAUGUGCAAAGCUGCCCAAUCUCGCAUCUCCGGGCUUAUUAUAUAUUUCAGGAGACAAUUAUUAAGCAAUGCGUAUUUAAAUCUCACUUUAUAGACAGAUGAUACAGGUUAGAUGGUUAAUACCAAGUUAAAUUAGACAAGAAAAUGGCCAUUUGCUGUCAGUUGGGGACAUAUGAAUGAACACAUAAAAACUGAAACAAUAAAAAAUGGCAAAAUAAUAUUUAAUGAUACCAAAACUGUUUCAAGUCAAGUCAAGCUUCCUAGACCAAAAAAACCUAAAAAACAAAAAACAAAAAAAGCAAGUACAAAAGAUAACCUUUUCAGUUUUGGCCAUAAGUUUGUGGUAACCCCAGAACACAGAAGUGGAGUUUUAUUGAGAGUGAUAAAGCACAUAUUCAAGCUAAAACAGACAGCUAGGGUGAGUGAGAAAUGCUGCAUGCUUAGAAAAAAAUAGAAGUGGGUCAAGAUAGGAACCAAAGGCAGAAGUGAGAAGUUACACAAGCUAGGAAUUUCACAAAAGAGAGAGGAUGAACUAGGUCUCAAGAGUCCAGCAUCUGAGACUCUAGGAUCAAACUAAAGACGAAGUGAAGCUUUCUCUAUUUUCUUCUUAAAGAUUUCCUUUCUAGAAAAAGAUAAAUAAAUAAAUAAACCCAAUCUGCAUUUGAAGAUCUGGCCACGUAGUUGUAUGGAAAGUGAGUGAAACAACAAGGAAAAGACGAAGAAUAUGGCCUGUCUAGUUAAUUUCUUGAGCAGGAAACUGGAUCAGUGUAUAUGUGUAAGUGUGUCUGCAUACUCCCAAGUCUGGGAGGGAGUUAAGUAAUCAAGAGCCCUGAGGACCAAGAAGACAGACAUCACCUGCUCUGGGUUUGGUAAUUAAGGCAUUAUCCAUCACCCCGGGAGCGGAGUGGACCCUGGUGGGAGAGUGAAGCCCCCCUGCUCCCCACGGCACAAAGAUUGCUCACCACAAAGUGCCAAGAGCUCAGGGUCUUUGGAAAUGCAUCUAAGAUAACCUCACAGCCCGGCAGCUUCUAGGAAGACUGAUUGAUCAACAGAAAGGGAAACAGACUCUGCUCCCAUGUAUUCCCAUUCUGCUCAUUGAUUUUCCUCCUUUUACAAACAUUUGUUCGUAGGCUUCCAACUACCGCUGCAGUGGAUCUGGCUUUGAGGAUUUUAGCUCCCCUUCAUUAUCUGUAAUUGUGUGGGGACUUCAAGUCACAAAAGGCUAAUAUUUAAAGUGCCAAUAUUCUUGGUUGCUGUUUGCUUUUUUGGGAAAUGUAUAAUUGAAGUACAAUGACCCAGUGCAGAUAAUCACGAUAUCACUAAUAAUGUUCUUAUUUUUUUUUUUUUACAGCUAUCAAUAUUCAUUCUUCUUGGCCCCCAGGAAUAGGCAGUGCUUCCUGGGUUGGCCAGAUAUAUGUAUAUAUACUGAUCCGUGUCAUUGGAAAGAAGGAGGAGAUCUACUGGAUUCUGAUUUGGGAUCCAAUUCAGAAUGGAUCAUACAGUCAGGGAAGUUAUAACGCAGCAUGAGUAACGAACGUCUCCAUUCCUAAUGGAAUGUGAAGGAUGCACUGUAUGGGCUCCAAAGUCCCAUCUACCUCUAAUAUUCUGGACAUGUGGGUCAAGGAAUAAAAACUCUGGCAGGCAACAAAAAUGAUGGGAAAUGGGACAGACACAGAGAUGUGCUACUCAGAUCACCCUUCAGGAAAGGACUUGCCUGCCAUCCAGCUGUGUGACGUGUGGGCAGCUGACAGGUUUCAGCUGUUAGAGCCUUUAGGCUCCAUCUCACUGUCGAGCUCAUGAUUUGCUCACAGAAUAGCUUGGUCAAUAGUGGAACAAGGUGGUGGCACCAAGGCUUAGCCCAGUAACUCUUGUGCUGAGCCAUCUUUGCUCCAGAGCCUCCCAUUGGUCUGGCAGAGACUGUCAGGUCUGCAUGGGGGUCUGCCCAAUCCAGCUUCCCCCCUUUUACUUGUACAGAUUUCCCUUUCUAUGACACCUUUUGUACUUCUAACUCCCUCUUAGGAUCCGCUUCCUGGAGAACUUCCAUGGUGACAGGGGAUGAGUUGCAAACAAAGUGGCGUAUGAUGCAGAAGAGGGUGUGAUGGAUCCGACCACUGGGGGAACGGAGGAAGGCGAAAUCGUGAAGGAAACGGCAUUUGAGUUGACUUUGAAGACGAAUAGGAGUUGAAUGAGUAGGACAGAAGAAAAUAGACAUUUGAAGCAGCAGGAUGGACACAUGCACAAAGGCAUGAUAUAAAGAGCAGGAUGUGGGAGCAUGGGUAAUGUAUGGAACGAUGUGGACAUGUGCAGUGGUGGGGACAGGGGGUGAAGCAGGGAGAUAAAGCUGGGAAAUAUGGGAUCCAAGAUAAACAGCUGUAACAAACGCUCUAUGUAUACACUCCUAUUGGUUUGUAGACUCUGAUAAAGGGAAAUGGUAGUCCUGGGAGAAGAAUGAGCUGCACAAAGCAAUAAAAUAUGUAGAAUUCCAUAGCAUAGUGUUUUUGACAGCCCUGAAACAGAUAUUUUACUUCUAUGUAGGUGGUUUCCUUGGAAAAAUAGCACCUGCUCUUUGUUAGGGAGAGAAUGAAUUGCUUGACCCAUGGUACAGUCAAAUCAAUCAUAUCAUAACACCAAUCCAUCAUGUAAAAUUCAUUCUCUAGGCCCACAUUUUGAGGAAAGAAAAUGGCAGUUAAUAUUCCUAUUGCUGACUACUUAUUCAAGAGAAGAAAAAGACAUGUUUACGUGGUUCUAAAAUAACUACCUUAAGCCCAUUAUCAAAUCCUAACAAGGAAGACCAUCCAUCCUAAAGAAGUUAUUUUAGAAAUCAUAAUUUGCUUUAAUUAAAAAAAAAUUUCCCAAGCUGCAUUCCAAGAAACACAGAGUCCUAUGGAUUUUUCAUUAAAAUGCUUUCCACUGUCAUCAUAAUAUGAGAAACACUGUAUGUGACAAAUCCCAUCUGACUUUUCACAGUGAAUUUUAGAAGGUCCACGGACUUUAAAAGUCUACUGUAGAAAAUCCAUUUAUGUUUGUUGAAUUCAUUUCCCAUUCAUAUUUGAUCACAAAAUCCUCCUACCUUCAUAACUCCUGUGAAAGAUAUGGAAAUAACACUACAGGGAAAACAUUUUGUGGGUUGACUUUGAGGAAUUCAAAAGCAUUUCAUAUCAAAACUUGCUGAACACAACCCCAAAGUCUCCUUGUAAAUGUUUUAGGGUCACUCCAUGAAAUGAGAGGGUGGCUAAGCAGGUGGGUUCUAGAGCUCCUCUCCCCAAUUCAAUCAUCGUGGAUUGUAUUAUGUAUUAAGAAUUUGUAACAGAUAUUUAAGAAUAAAAAAAAGAGUUCUAGUGCUACAUUUGAAAUCACAACAGUAAUCACUCAAUCUAUUUAUCUAACUACACACACACACACACACACACACACACGGGUUGGGGUGGGCAUAUAUCUACCAUUAGGAAAAGGAGAAAGACCAGGGGCUUGAUCUCAGAAGAAGAAAUGCCCCCUUUUCAUUCCUUUGAAUAGAUGCAACACAAACUUCCUAAAGGACACUCCUGCUCAGACAUAGGCAAUCCCACCUAAAAUACAGUUCUUAUUUUUAACUUUAAUGAAGUUAAGAGGAAAUUGCAAGGCUCAUUAUCACUAAUCAUUUGAGGUAUAAACGAUGUCUACAAAUGAUAUCCAGAAAAGAUGGCGACAAGAAGUUAUGGGUCAAAUGACAAUCACAACAGUAAUAUCAACAAGGUGGUCCACAUGCAUCCUCUCUAAUCCUGACAAAUGCAAAGCAAGGUGGACAUUACUGUUCCCACUCUCCAAAUGACUAAACUAAAGUGUAGAGAGCUUCAGUAACUUGUACCAAGUUAGCCAGAUGAUAAGGAGGUGUGGAAGACUUGAACCCAAGACAGGCAGAUUUCAAAAGCAGUCCUGUUACAAAGGCAGUGGGUAACACUAACUUUUAAAAAUCAUAUAUAGACAAUCUAACAAUCUGUUUGGUUAUGAAACAAAAUAGAUGGAUGCUUCUCAAAGUUAGCUCCCUUUGUAAGACUUGGGGGAGCCUACCACCCCAAAAGCUGAUAGUACUGAAUUAUGGCCUGUCUCUGCUUUAUCCUCCCCAUGACCACAGUCAGCACAACUUGCAGUCAAUACAAGUAUAAGCAACUCAAUCUCUCAGUUUUCUGUAUGUGGCUUUUCAUUUUUUCAGUGUGACAAAUGAAUACGAGGUAGGCAUUUUCUUUCUUCCACCCAGUGGUUUUACAGUAUUGACUCAAGCCCUUCCUCUCUUCCCCCGAGACCUCUUUGAGGUGGGCCAGUGAGGGCCACUGAUCCCUCUUCUCUGGCUAGAAAUGAACCCAGUGACUUUCACAUUCUGGUAAACAGAAUCAGAUGCUAUUGAGUGUUUCCAUUUGAUUGGGUCAGGCAACUAUUCCUGAGGUCACUUCAGUGUCAUUUGAACUCAAAAGAAUCCAUGUAUUACAUGAGCCUAAACUUCUUAAUUUAAUCUAACAUUUAAGGAAAAGCAUAAAAAGACGGGUGUGCAAUUUUAUCAUGAUAUCUCUCCUAAGUGAAUUCAAAGCAAAGCAUGGAUUGAUUUUGCUCAAAGACUGACCAACUCUUAAAACAUGUUCAUUAGUAAAUAGCUCACUCUUCAAAAUCAAGAACUCGGGGUUAUAUUUUCAUCCAUUUUUCUCACAGUUGCAGUUCCCAAUGAACCAGCUCCCGUUGCAUAUCACCUUCCCUUUCAUCAGAACAGGAGUUUUCAAAUGGCAGCUGUAAUUGUGGGGUUUGGGUGGGGUGCUCAUCCUAUCUCACAUCCCAACAUCUGAGUGAGGAAAAUGAAAUAGGUUUUGUCCCCUUUAAAAGUGUUUCAGACAGGAAAGACCUCCUUGAAUGUUAUAAACUUGAAUGGGAAAAAAUGUGCAUUCUCCUUCCCCACCCCCACCCAGUUCCCAGCAUCUUUGUUUGAACCAAGUCUCAAAAAACAUGUAAAUCUUGGCCCAGACUAAGCAAAUCACCUUAAAAAGGAAGGUUAGAGAACUGUUUAUUAUUUGAAAUGUCUCUCUCCAGACCUUAUUUUUGAUAAAUUGGCUUCAGCUUCAUUACUUCAUGAUAUAUCUCCCUUGACAUUUAAUUAUACUUACUCCAAACACAUUAAGCGAAUCAGUCUGAACAGCUUCUUAUUAAUAUGCAAAUUUCUCCUUUGAAAACCCAUGAAUCUGUGAAAAAUCUCUUUAGGCUUCCAUUAAACCCACUCAGGAAGUUGUAUACCUCACACAGACACUUGCCUCAUUCACUGACUCAAUGAUUCAGCAUUUACUAAUUGUCUGAGUUAACUAUUCUGGCCACAUCAAGGGGAGGUGGUAGGAAAGAGAGAGGGGACAGGGAACCAAAUGGGAUUCAGAAGCUGAACACUUAAAAGAUGAAUGAUCAGAGGCCAGGCUUGAAUUAGCGGCUGGUAAUUAGAGCUCAAAAUCAAGGCUCUUUGCAAGCACAAUCAGCCAGAUGAGUUGAAACAGCAUACUUUAAGGGGAGAAGCCACGGACUUAGUUCACCGGUGACUUCUCUGGCAAUUCUGUUUCAGAUGAAGACGGGCUGCUGAACACAGGAUCUUCUACACAUCUCAUGCCCUCCCAAGUGCUGACUGCACUUGUGUUCCUUUACCAUUGCAUUUGCAAAAGAUCUGACUGUCAUCAGGUAACACAGCGGGGCAUAGGUAGAGCAGUCCUAGUUAGGAAUGGUGCCAGGAAGACCAGGGGCUGACCAGGAGAAUGCUGAGUUCAAAUGAGGAAACAGGGUCCUAAGGCCGUCGGGAGGUCGAAGCAAAUUUCAAAGAAGCCUGAGUUGCAGAAAUUGACAAACAAAGCCUAGCGCUUCAGGAGCUAGCCGAACACCUAGCAACAAGGAGAUGGAGGCAAUAUCAUGAAGAAAUCAGUUUUCCAAGAGAGUCCAGGGCCCGAGGAGGGUCAGGAUGAAAGGGGAAUAAAGUAUAAAGUAGAGAUCAACACAAGCAAGACGUCUGGGUAUUAAGAGUUUACGAGAGAGUCGCUCUUAAAUAUCUGCUGAUGGAAUACUGAAGAUGGGGAAAGACAAUUAUUUUCCAUAGUCCUAUCAGACAAAAGUCUGAAAUUAGAGACAUCUGGGCAGCAGGAGAUAGAAGCAUCAGAGAGCAGCAUGCAGGAUUUAGGUUCUGGAGGUUUUUAUCAUCUUUGUUGAAUAUUUCCAAGACAUAUUUGCAACUAGUAAACAAUAUGGUUAUGGUUACACACACACAAAUAUAUAUAUAUAAAUAUAUAAAUAUAUAUUUAUAUGCUUUGACUUAUGAUGAAAAUGGAGGAAAUAUAAUAGGUUCUUUUCAGUGACAUCUGGAUCUCACCCUGAAUAAUCUCAUCCACUCUAGACCUCAGUCCCAUCAUCUUAUCAAAAAAGGACAACAGCACCUGCUCCAUCGUUUUUAUAGUGUUGCUGUAAGAAUUAAAUUGAAUAGAACAUGUCAAGAUUGCGGAGGAGGGGGGAACUGUGUAAAGUGUAAAAUACCUACAUGUAUAAGGUUAGUAUAUAUAGUCAAGUUAAGCUUUCUCAUUUGCAUACCAACCUUGUAAAUGGCAUCCACUGCUAAGUAGAAAUUAAACUGCUUAAUAAGGGAAACAGGAAAGAAACUAAUAUUUAAUACAUAUCUGCUAUAAUCCACACACUGCUUAAGGUGACUUUUGUAGUUUAUCUCACUUUAGCCUUACAGAAACCCUGAAGAAACAGAAAAAGGAAAUGUCAUCUUCCUAAGUCUUGUUCGGAAGGAGAAAAUCUAGAACAGAGACUCGUUUUCAAUGAGUUCCCAGAUCUUUAAAGGGGAGAUAAGAAAAAUAAUAAUGAAAAUAUACAAAGAAUUGUUAUAAUCUGAAGUUAUUAAUUUUUAAGGCAACUCUGUAUCUGUCAUUUGAGAUUGGUUACAUUCGUUGCAAAGAAUUUAAAUCAAAAUAACAAAAAGCAGGAGAAAUCUGAUUGCAUCAAGAUAGAAAGAUGUUACUUUCAUGGAAACGACUUCCUAAAGCUUUAGAUAGGGUCUAUAAUUUGAAGAAAUAGGAGAGUAAUAACCCAAAAUGAAAAAAAGAACAAAAUGUUCAGUGAUACUUAUUGUCGUCAAAGAUCAUAGUCCAGAGUAUAAAGUUCUUUUCUUGCUUGUUUAAAAUUCCUGCCUUAUAUUUAGUGUAACAAAUAAGAAGAGAAAGAACUUAACAUAGGAAGGACUGUAAAUCCCUGAAGAGUUUCUCUGAGAGCAUUUUCACAGAUGUCUCAGAGAAAGAGGGAGAAAGAAAUUAGGAUGAAUUUAGUGUUUUUGAGAAAACUAGCCAGAAAUACCCAUUUGGGUGCUUUCUUUUGUCUCAAUUCCAUAGAUCCCAAAGCAAUCACAAGCAUUAGAAUCUUGUUAUGAAACCAUAACCUGCAACUUUUCUUCCCCUUGACUAGGUAGGUAGAAUAAUGUGGGAAGAUGAAUGCAUGAUAUGGAGAGUCCAAAUCCUUCUUGUCCUACUUAGUAGUAGCUGUGAUAACUUAAGUCUUUGUUUCUUUGUUUCUAUAAAUGGGGUUAAUGUCUAACUUACAGUGUUACUGAGAAAAUUAAAGCAGAUACAAUAUUUAAGAUGCUUGGAAUAAGUACUCAAAAAUGGAAAAGAUUGCUGUUAAACACACUCCUUGAAGAUAGGAAACCUUUUAUUGCACUUUGCCUCCUUCAGGGCAUUUGAACAGAGCUGACUCUCAACACAUACAGUCAGUUCUUGUUAUUCUAAGUAAUUAUGUUCUAUAAAGUUGCUGCAGGCCAGGUGCGGUGGCUUACACCAGUAAUUCCAGC
Cercocebus atys (sooty mangabey) is the source of this 9533-nucleotide long non-coding RNA. RefSeq lists it as uncharacterized. NCBI's taxonomy places the organism in Eukaryota, Metazoa, Chordata, Mammalia, Primates, Cercopithecidae. The record is from RefSeq and is a predicted model, not a curated record. The transcript has 4 exons.